CCUCGGAACCGCAUUUGAAACUGGCAGGCUAGAGUACUGUAGAGGGGGGUAGAAUUUCAGGUGUAGCGGUGAAAUGCGUAGAGAUCUGAAGGAAUACCAGUGGCGAAGGCGGCCCCCUUGAACAGAUACUGACACUCAGAUGCGAAAGCGUGGGGAGCAAACAGGAUUAGAUACCCUGGUAGUCCACGCCGUAAACGAUGUCUACUUGGAGGUUGUGGCCUUGAGCCGUGGCUUUCGGAGCUAACGCGUUAAGUAGACCGCCUGGGGAGUACGGUCGCAAGAUUAAAACUCAAAUGAAUUGACGGGGGCCCGCACAAGCGGUGGAGCAUGUGGUUUAAUUCGAUG
RNAcentral lists this ribosomal RNA (345 nucleotides) under Vibrio breoganii. RNAcentral describes it as "bacterial SSU rRNA". It matches the Rfam family "Bacterial small subunit ribosomal RNA", at positions 613 to 956 of the family's 1533-position model. Lineage: Bacteria; Pseudomonadati; Pseudomonadota; Gammaproteobacteria; Vibrionales; Vibrionaceae. The record is from RNAcentral.